Molecule: non-coding RNA, 111 nt
Filed under: Francisella cf. novicida Fx1
Lineage: Bacteria; Pseudomonadati; Pseudomonadota; Gammaproteobacteria; Thiotrichales; Francisellaceae
Description: Francisella sRNA A
Rfam family: Francisella sRNA A
About the family: Deletion led to significant changes in the expression of several mRNAs.
Source: Rfam by way of RNAcentral
GUACCAAAUAAUUAAUGCUCUGUAAUCAUUUAAAAGUAUUUUGAACGGACCUCUGUUUGACACGUCUGAAUAACUAAAAAGCAAAAAUUUGCCACCUAAGUGGCUUUUUUU